Molecule: ribosomal RNA, 446 nt
Filed under: uncultured bacterium
Lineage: Bacteria
Description: bacterial SSU rRNA
Rfam family: Bacterial small subunit ribosomal RNA
Source: RNAcentral
CGCCAGACUCCUACGGGAGGCAGCAGUGGGGAAUAUUGCACAAUGGGGGAAACCCUGAUGCAGCGACGCCGCGUGAGUGAAGAAGUAUUUCGGUAUGUAAAGCUCUAUCAGCAGGGAAGAAAAUGACGGUACCUGACCAAGAAGCCCCGGCUAACUACGUGCCAGCAGCCGCGGUAAUACGUAGGGGGCAAGCGUUAUCCGGAUUUACUGGGUGUAAAGGGAGCGUAGACGGCUGUGCAAGUCAGAAGUGAAAGCCCGGGGCUCAACCCCGGGACUGCUUUUGAAACUGCGUGGCUGGAGUGCAGGAGAGGUAAGCGGAAUUCCUGGUGUAGCGGUGAAAUGCGUAGAUAUUAGGAGGAACACCAGUGGCGAAGGCGGCCUGCUGGACGACAACUGACGGUGAGGCGCGAAAGCGUGGGGAGCAAACAGGAUUAGAUACCCCCGUA